UACAGAAAAUUUUAUUUGAAUUUUGCUACUGUUGUUCAACCAUUGACUCAUCUUUUACGGAAAGAUUCUAAAUUCAUCUUGAGUGAGAAUUGUCAAAAUGCUUUUGAAAAUAGCAAAUCACUUUUAGUAAAUAGUCCAGUUUUGAUCACUGACUACUACGAUAUCAUCGCAGGAAAAGCAAUACCUACUAGUAUGUCUCGCCAUCCGUUGCAGGCGAGACAAAAAAUCAAGACCAUAUAGAUAGGACUGAGAACUAAUGAAAGACGUUUAUUGCUGCCAUGUUUUCAUAUGUUCCUGUCCUAAUUCACAAGACCUAUAAGUGGUUUUCACUGGAACAUAGUGGUUUGUUAUACUGUUUGUUUGUCUUUGUUAAAUUCAUUCAUAUCUUUUUUCUGCUCUCGUUGAUUUACAUUUGGCAAAACAAUACAAUGUAGUUUCUGUUUUAUGAUUGGUGACUUUAUGUGUCCUCCAAAUAUAUAUUUUUGUUGUUCAGUAGCUUUCUAAUUGAUAAUUAUCCAACCUAGAUGUUUAAUGUACUUAGUCCAAGCAAAUUUUCGUCAGUGGGUCUCAUGGUAGCAAGCUCACCUGGGGCAUUGGAAUCAAACCUCAGCUUGGUCAAAUAAAGAUUUAAAUUGGUAUGGUCAGCUUCUUGACCAAGCAAGCCGCAUAUAGGAUUAAGAGCAUACACUUGUGACGUUUUCAACUUGGAAUCAGAAUAAAGUCAGAAUAAAGUGUCUCAAUUGGGUCUUUCUCUGAACUAUUUAUCGUGUGAGUUAGAACCAAUUAAUUGAAUCAGUGUAGAAAUAAAUGUGGAUAGUGUCCACAUGUGGACACAGAUGAUGCCCCCACUUGCAUAUCAUAAAGGUUAUAAAGAGACAUAACUGAAGAACAGUAAAAGUGACACUACCCAAAUUUGAACUUGAUCUGAGUUUUGUGGUAAUAAGCAUUGUGUGUAAGUCUCAUAACAUUUGGUUGAGGCUAACUUAAGUAGAGAACAGAAACUAAAAAUUCAGCAAUUUUUCUAUUUGUAAACACACUUAACUCUAGAACGGUGGUGUAUAAAUUUUAUAACAUUUAGUUGAGACAAACUAAAAAAUUCAGCAAUUUUUAUGUUUAUAAAGGGACAUAACUCAAGAAUGGUAAAAGUGUCACCAUCAAAUUUCGUACUUAAUCUGUACUAUGUAGUAAUAAGCAUUCUGUAUAAGUUUCAUAACAUUUGGUUGAGGCAAACUAAAGUUAGAAAACGGAAACAAAAAAUUUGUACUUGAUCUUAGUUUUGUGGUAAUGAAUAUUGUGUAUAGGUUUCAUAAUGUUUGGUUGGGGCAAACUUAAGUUACAGAAUGGAAACUAAAAAUUUUGCAAUCUUUCGAUUUAUAAAGGGGCAUAACUCAAUAAUGGUUAAAGUGACACUACCCAAAUUCCAACUUGAUCUGUGUUUUAUCAGUGGAAGACAAAAUUAAACAUUGCAUUGUAUAAAGCAUUGGUUGUAGUUGAUUCAACUAUAAUCAUGGACAAAGGAAGAUAACUCCAAUUUUAAAAAUUACUUGAUAUUUAGAAGAAAAUAAAAAUUUUGCAAUUUUUCCAUUUAUUAAGGGACAUAACUCUAGAACGGUUAAAUCGACGCCACAAAAAUUCAAACUUGAUCUGUGUUUUGUGGUAACAAGCAUUGUGUAUAAGUUUCAUAACAUUUGGUUGAGGCAAACUUAAGUUAGAGAACGGAAACUAAAAAUUUUGCAAUUUUUCCAUUUAUAAAGGGGCAUAAUUCUAGAAUGGUCAAAGUGAUGCCACCAAAAUUCAAAUUUGAUCUGUGUUUUGUGGUAAUAAGCAUUGUGUAUAAGUUUUGUAACAUUUGGUUGAGGCAAACUUAAGUUAGAGAACAGAAACUAAAAAUUUUGCAAUUUUUCCAUUUAUAAAGGGGCAUAACUCUAGAACGGUUAAAUGACGCCAUCAAAUUUCGUACUUAAUCUGUACUAUGUAGUAAUAAACAUUCUGUAUAAGUUUCAUAACAUUUGGUUGAGGCAAACUCAAGUUAGAGAACGGAAACCAAUUUUGGGACGUACGGACGGACGUACGUACAUACAGACGGACAAGGGUAAAACUUAAUGCCCCCACCGCUACGGCAGGGGCAUAAAAAAAAACCAAAUUAUCCUUGAAUUUGCAAGAAGCAUUUACUGCUGAACAUUAUUCAGCCAGCAAUGAUUCAAUGAAGUCCAUCAAAUAAAUAAGAAAGAGAAUAAUAGUAUUUUGAGACACACUGACAAUUCAUAAGCAAUCAUAUCUUGUAUUGAAAUAUUUAAUAUUAAAUAACAAAGAAUUAACAAAAUAUUAUACCACCAUUUCAGCGAAUUAUAUCAAGAGUUUAAAAAAAGAACACUUGUGUUUUCUGCAAAGAUAUAAAAAAAAACAUUUGACUGCAAACAGUGCUUCAUACACCUAGCAAACUAAAAUAUAAUUUUAUGCUAGAUUACAUUUAAAGACAUAUAUAAA
Mytilus californianus (California mussel) is the source of this 2487-nucleotide long non-coding RNA. RefSeq lists it as uncharacterized. The transcript has 2 exons. NCBI's taxonomy places the organism in Eukaryota, Metazoa, Mollusca, Bivalvia, Mytilida, Mytilidae. The record is from RefSeq and is a predicted model, not a curated record.